This 556-nucleotide long non-coding RNA is filed under the name Phoenix dactylifera (date palm). RNAcentral's name for it is "long non-coding RNA (PDAC_LNC009702)". Lineage: Eukaryota; Viridiplantae; Streptophyta; Magnoliopsida; Arecales; Arecaceae. The record is from RNAcentral.
UAAGGAAUCUAUCGACCUUGAUAGAAGAGGAGUGAUCCUAUGUGAUUUGUUAGACCGAGUUCUAAGACCUUGGCCAGGGCAGUAAUAUAAAGUGGAAAAAGAGUUUUUCACUAUCGAACUCAAGUCGAAUAAAUCUUGACAUAUGACAGACGAUGGGGUUUGACGAGUUGUCCAUGACCUCCGUCCUGUGGGGAUCCACGAUAGUAGGAUUGUAUCACACGUUAACUGCACCUAGAGGUUCAUCAUUCCAUUCUGCUGGGUAGCCACUACAUGCUGCUAAGUGUCACUGGUGGAUGGUGGGACUCAUAGGGAUUAUCUUGAUGAUCGAUAAACCCUAAUGAGUUGAGUUGGAAUCGUUCCAACCCAUUGAAAGGAGUUUUCAAUGAUAUAAUGAUAGAGAUCACAAUAUAUCUCACUACCAGUCAGAAUAGAACCUAUGGGGUCACACAUACUAGAAGUAUUGACCGAUCCGAUGGUUGAAAUCGUGAUUAGGAAUCACAAGUAAUCAAUUUGAUUGAUAAGAAGUUGAAGAAGGAACAAAGGGAAUUAAUUAAUU